Molecule: transfer RNA, 73 nt
Filed under: Stegodyphus dumicola
Lineage: Eukaryota; Metazoa; Arthropoda; Arachnida; Araneae; Eresidae
Description: tRNA-Thr
Rfam family: tRNA
About the family: Transfer RNA (tRNA) molecules are approximately 80 nucleotides in length. Their secondary structure includes four short double-helical elements and three loops (D, anti-codon, and T loops). Further hydrogen bonds mediate the characteristic L-shaped molecular structure. tRNAs have two regions of fundamental functional importance: the anti-codon, which is responsible for specific mRNA codon recognition, and the 3' end, to which the tRNAs corresponding amino acid is attached (by aminoacyl-tRNA synthetases). tRNAs cope with the degeneracy of the genetic code in two manners: having more than one tRNA (with a specific anti-codon) for a particular amino acid; and 'wobble' base-pairing, i.e. permitting non-standard base-pairing at the 3rd anti-codon position.
Source: RNAcentral
GCCUUCGUAGUGUAGUGGUCAGCACGCUCGACGCGUAUUCGAGAGGUCCGUGGUUCGAUUCCCCGUGAGGGUA